GUCAAUGGCCUAACGGCUGAACCAGCAACUUGCAGGAAUGAGAGUUAAUAUAAAAGAUUUAUUAACUUGCUUGACUAGGUCUUAUAAAGUUCUGGAUAAAGCUGAUAAUGACAACUUUAUAUCCAUAGGUCUCGACUAAAUCUUGUGCCAGCAGUCGCGGUAAGACAAGGGAGACAAGUGUUAUUCAUCUUGAACAGGUAUAUUGGGUACCUAGACUGUGAAUUAAGGCUUAAAUGGUACCUUAUACACUAGAGUUUAAUAUGUGAGAGGUAGAUGUCAGAAUUAUUAGAGGAGAGAUGAAAUCCUUUUAUACUAAUAGGACUGAUCAUGGCGAAGGCAAACCUUUAUGUAUAUCUACUUUUAGUUUACUUUAUAAUAGAAGUAAUUUAUAGCCAAAAAGGACUAUAAAGCUAAAAAGUACUAAACUGACGUUGAGGGACGAAGGCUCAGAGAGUGAAGAGGAUUAGAUACCCCCGUAGCCUGGGCAGACAAUGAUGAGUGCCAUAGGUUGGCUUUUAGUUGAACUAUAAAUGAAAGUGGAAGCACUCCACCUCAAGAGUAAUGUGGCAACGCAGGAACUGAAAUCAUUAGACCGUUU
This 598-nucleotide ribosomal RNA is filed under the name Preussia tetramera. RNAcentral describes it as "mitochondrial SSU rRNA". It matches the Rfam family "Bacterial small subunit ribosomal RNA", at positions 367 to 919 of the family's 1533-position model. Lineage: Eukaryota; Fungi; Ascomycota; Dothideomycetes; Pleosporales; Sporormiaceae. The record is from RNAcentral.